Molecule: non-coding RNA, 45 nt
Filed under: Schistosoma curassoni
Lineage: Eukaryota; Metazoa; Platyhelminthes; Trematoda; Strigeidida; Schistosomatidae
Source: RNAcentral
AUUCAGCUGACGAGUCUCAAAUAGGACGAAACGUGCUUCCUGGAU